Molecule: ribosomal RNA, 478 nt
Filed under: uncultured bacterium
Lineage: Bacteria
Description: bacterial SSU rRNA
Rfam family: Bacterial small subunit ribosomal RNA
Source: RNAcentral
AUUGAACGCUGGCGGCAUGCCUUACACAUGCAAGUCGAACGGCAGCACGGGAGCAAUCCUGGUGGCGAGUGGCGAACGGGUGAGUAAUAUAUCGGAACGUGCCCAGUCGUGGGGGAUAACGUAGCGAAAGCUACGCUAAUACCGCAUACGAUCUAUGGAUGAAAGCGGGGGAUCGCAAGACCUCGCGCGAUUGGAGCGGCCGAUAUCAGAUUAGGUAGUUGGUGGGGUAAAGGCCUACCAAGCCGACGAUCCAUAGCUGGUUUGAGAGGAUGAUCAGCCACACUGGGACUGAGACACGGCCCAGACUCCUACGGGAGGCAGCAGUGGGGAAUUUUGGGACAAUGGACGCAAGUCUGAUCCAGCCAUUCCGCGUGCAGGAUGAAGGCCCUCGGGUUGUAAACUGCUUUGUACGGAACGAAACGGUGAGCUCUAAUACAGUUUGCUAAUGACGGUACCGUAAGAAUAAGCACCGGCUAAC